CGGCCUAAAGCCGGGCGCUAACGGCUAGGCUCCUGACAUCCCAUCCCCCUUUUCGGGCGGUAUGGCGACUGUCUGCCUCUGAUACCAAUUGUCAGCGACCUUCCCGGCCUAGCCCACUCAACGCUACACCUUUGGGUGUUUCCCGACGCUCGUGGGCUAACACAAGCGAGCCCCUUCACUCGCUCUCAAAACCCAGGCUGUGAGAGGAGGGGAAAUCUCGCUUAUAAGCUCACCACGGCCCCCUCCGGCUAGCGAGGUGGUACUAAAGCCGGGCGCUAACGGCUAGGCUCCUGACAUCCCAUCCCCCUUUUCGGGCGGUAUGGCGACUGUCUGCCUCUGAUACCAAUUGUCAGCGACCUUCCCGGCCUAGCCCACUCAACGCUACACCUUUGGGCGUUUCCCGGCGCUCGUGGGCUAACACAAGCGAGCCCCUUCACUCGCUCUCAAAACCCGGGCUGUGAGAGGAGGGGAAAUCUCGCUUAUAAGCUCACCACGGCCCCCUCCGGCUAGCGAGGUGGUACUAAAGUCGGGCGCUAACGGCUAGGCUCCUGACAUCCCAUCCCCCUUUUCGGGCGGUAUGGCGACUGUCUGCCUCUGAUACCAAUUGUCAGCGACCUUCCCGGCCUAGCCCACUCAACGCUACACCUUUGGGUGUUUCCCGGCGCUCGUGGGCUAACACAAGCGAGCCCCUUCACUCGCUCUCAAAACCCGGGCUGUGAGAGGAGGGGAAAUCUCGCUUAUAAGCUCACCAUGGCCCCCUCCGGCUAGCGAGGUGGUACUAAAGCCGGGCGCUAACGGCUAGGCUCCUGACAUCCCAUCCCCCUUUUCGGGCGGUAUGGCGACUGUCUGCCUCUGAUACCAAUUGUCAACGACCUUCCCGGCCUAGCCCACUCAACGCUACACCUUUGGGCGUUUCCCGGCGCUCGUGGGCUAACACAAGCGAGCCCCUUCACUCGCUCUCAAAACCCGGGCUGUGAGAGGAGGGGAAAUCUCGCUUAUAAGCUCACCACGGCC
RNAcentral lists this long non-coding RNA (1014 nucleotides) under Zea mays. Its description in RNAcentral is "long non-coding RNA (ZMAY_LNC005093)". The record is from RNAcentral. Lineage: Eukaryota; Viridiplantae; Streptophyta; Magnoliopsida; Poales; Poaceae.